GACAGAGGAGCCAAGCGUUGUCCGGACUGACUGGGCGUAAAGGGCACGUAGGCGGUGCGGUAAGUGGGGUGUGAAAGCAGUCGGCUCAACCGGCUGAGGCCAUGCCAGACUGCCGCGCUCGAGCGCUGCAGAGGGUGGUGGAAUUGCCGGUGUAGUGGUGAAAUGCGUAGAGAUCGGCAGGAACACCAAGGGGGAAGCCAGCCACCUGGGCAGCCGCUGACGCUGAAGUGCGAAAGCGUGGGGAGCGAACUGG
This 253-nucleotide ribosomal RNA is filed under the name uncultured bacterium. RNAcentral describes it as "partial 16S ribosomal RNA". It matches the Rfam family "Bacterial small subunit ribosomal RNA", at positions 524 to 776 of the family's 1533-position model. The record is from RNAcentral.